GUGUCAGCCGCCGCGGUAAUACAGAGACUGCAAGCGUUGUUCGGAUUCAUUGGGCGUAAAGGGUGCGUAGGCGGUGAGGUAAGUUGGAUGUGAAAUCUCAGGGCCUAACCCUGAAAGUGCAUCCAAAACUGCCUUGCUUGAGGACUGGAGGGGAGACUGGAAUUCUCGGUGUAGCGGUGAAAUGCGUAGAUAUCGAGAGGAACACCAGUGGCGAAGGCGGGUCUCUAGCCAGUUCCUGACGCUGAGGCACGAAAGCCAGGGUAGCAAACGGGAUUAGAUACCCGCGUAGUCC
This 292-nucleotide ribosomal RNA is filed under the name uncultured bacterium. RNAcentral describes it as "partial 16S ribosomal RNA". It matches the Rfam family "Bacterial small subunit ribosomal RNA", at positions 505 to 796 of the family's 1533-position model. The record is from RNAcentral.